UUCGCAAUGCCCGAAAGGGUGACGAAGCGACGCCGCGUGUGGGAAGAAGGCCUUCGGGUUGUAAACCACUGUCGGGAGUUAAGAAGUGUAAGGGUGUUAAGAGCAUCCUUGCUUGACGUUAGCUCCGGAGGAAGCCACGGCUAACUCUGUGCCAGCAGCCGCGGUAAUACAGAGGUGGCAAGCGUUGUUCGGAAUUAUUGGGCGUAAAGAGCACGUAGGCGGCCCUGCAAGUCAGCUGUGAAAUCCUUCUGCUCAACGGAAGAACGGCAGUUGAUACUACAGGGCUCGAGUGCGGGAGGGGAGAGUGGAACUUCUGGUGGAGCGGUGAAAUGCGUAGAUAUCAGAAGGAACAUCGGCGGCGAAAGCGACUCUCUGGCCCGUAACUGACGCUGAGGUGCGAAAGCUAGGGGAGCAAACGGGAUUAGAUACCCCGGUAGUCCUAGCCGUAAACGAUGGGCACUAAGUAGAGGGGUUUUA
Molecule: ribosomal RNA, 477 nt
Filed under: uncultured anaerobic ammonium-oxidizing bacterium
Lineage: Bacteria
Description: bacterial SSU rRNA
Rfam family: Bacterial small subunit ribosomal RNA
Source: RNAcentral